AUGGAUAUUGAGAGGGACAACAUUCCAGGAAGUUUUAUGGAACUACUGAACAUGGUUGAGCAGCCCAUGUCAAAUUUCAAUCAAGAAAACACUAUGAACUCAGUACCAGAAGAAAGUUCGUGCUUUUCUGAUAGACCAUAUUGUUCAGAAGACACUGAUGUACUUUCGAGACCUAACUUAAGGGUUGACACUUAUGAUUAUGUCGAUGACUCAAAUGAAGUUCAGUCCAGUCUUGAAUGUAUGAAAGAAAAAGUUGCGAUUGCUGAUAUGAUAUCUGCCCCUGAAAAUCUUGACGAGCAGUACUUAUUUUCUGCAUACAAUGUUCAGAUUGAGGAGUCAGAUUCUAAUGAACGAUACCUUGAAGGAGGACAAGUUGGAGCUGUGGAACACGGAAUUAGAAGUUUUUGUGAAGACACAUCUGUUCAAAUGUUAAGGCCGGUUGUUGGUAUGAAGUUUUCAUCAAAGGCAGAAGCAUAUGACUUCUACAAUACAUAUUCUUGGGUGCUUGGUUUCAGUAUUCGGAAUGGUGAUAAUUAUAUUAAUUGCAAUGGCGUACAGACAAUGCAGGAAUUAAUUUGCCAACGAGCACCCAGAUCCCCACCGGCCAUGCUGGCGGCGAGAACCCUGAGACGGACAAGCGACUGUGCCUCCACCUUCCAGAUGACGCCUCGCCGCAAGAAGAAGACGCGGGGACUUGGAUGUUGA
Molecule: ribosomal RNA, 705 nt
Filed under: Triticum aestivum (bread wheat)
Lineage: Eukaryota; Viridiplantae; Streptophyta; Magnoliopsida; Poales; Poaceae
Description: partial small subunit ribosomal RNA
Source: RNAcentral